AAAAUCCAAUUUUGCUCCUCUGUUUCUCCUUGAUUUUGGUUUUGAGCCACCCUUGUCUCUUUCCUCCCGUCUCCAGUCCGUUGAGGUUAGCUUGUGGAUGCAUUUGACCAUUUGGCAUUUGGUUCUCUUCUUGCGGUCCUCCUUUGGGUCUUAUGUGAGUCAAGUCGUUCAAGCUCCAGGCCUUCAGCUUUUUAUGGUCUUCCUUAAAUGCUCUUGGAUACCUAGGAAACACAUUCAAGCCCAGAUGAACAAACGCCUCUCUCUCUCUCUCUCUCUCUCUCUC
This 283-nucleotide long non-coding RNA is filed under the name Phoenix dactylifera (date palm). RNAcentral describes it as "long non-coding RNA (PDAC_LNC001011)". Lineage: Eukaryota; Viridiplantae; Streptophyta; Magnoliopsida; Arecales; Arecaceae. The record is from RNAcentral.